RNAcentral lists this ribosomal RNA (476 nucleotides) under uncultured organism. RNAcentral describes it as "partial 16S ribosomal RNA". It matches the Rfam family "Bacterial small subunit ribosomal RNA", at positions 332 to 799 of the family's 1533-position model. The record is from RNAcentral.
UACACUCCUGCGGGAGGCAGCAGUGGGGAAUUUUGGACAAUGGGCGAAAGCCUGAUCCAGCAAUGCCGCGUGAGUGAAGAAGGCCUUCGGGUUGUAAAGCUCUUUUGUCAGGGAAGAAACGGUGAAAGCUAAUAUCUUUUGCUAAUGACGGUACCUGAAGAAUAAGCACCGGCUAACUACGUGCCAGCAGCCGCGGUAAUACGUAGGGUGCAAGCGUUAAUCGGAAUUACUGGGCGUAAAGCGUGCGCAGGCGGUUUUGUAAGUCUGAUGUGAAAUCCCCGGGCUCAACCUGGGAAUUGCAUUGGAGACUGCAAGGCUAGAAUCUGGCAGAGGGGGGUAGAAUUCCACGUGUAGCAGUGAAAUGCGUAGAUAUGUGGAGGAACACCGAUGGCGAAGGCAGCCCCCUGGGUCAAGAUUGACGCUCAUGCACGAAAGCGUGGGGAGCAAACAGGAUUAGAUACCCUGGUAGUCCCAUG